Molecule: unclassified non-coding RNA, 434 nt
Filed under: Hevea brasiliensis (rubber tree)
Lineage: Eukaryota; Viridiplantae; Streptophyta; Magnoliopsida; Malpighiales; Euphorbiaceae
Source: RNAcentral
AUCAGCUUGUUAACUUCAAUUCUUCCUUACUUGUAUCUAUCUUUCAAUAUGUGGCUCCCAUCAGUUCUGAACUCGGGUUGUUAGGUUGCUAAGAUAUCAUGGACAUGAUCCAAGCCCGUGUGGAUAAACUGGGGUGGAGAUGGACCUAACCAAAUGGCCCAAAAGUCAUGUUAGUACAUAGUAGUUCACUAAGGCCCUCCUGUACUGAUCAUAUCAGAAGUACCUUUCCAAUGCAGGAUUUGGGAUGUUACAUUUAUAGAAGUAUCUUGAUUGCCAAAUUUGCUGCAUUACAAUUCUGCCUGUUCAUUUUAUAUUAAAAUUUAUUAGUAAUGCUACUGACCACACUUUUCUAUGCUCGUUCUCUUUGAGCACUUCUGGACCCUGGUAGCCAUGUCUUUAUGUUGACAAGUGACCAUAGAUUUUGAAAAAGUCUG